UAGCACAGAGAGCUUGCUCUCGGGUGACGAGGUGGCGGACCGGGUGAGUAAUGUCGUGGGGAUCUCGCCCGAUAGGAGGGGGAUAACCACUAGGAAACGGUGGCUAAUACCGCAUAACGUCGACAAGAACCAAAGGAGGGGACCUUCGGGCCUCUCACUAUCGGAUCGAACCCAGAUGGGAUUAGCUAGUAGGCGGGGUAAUGGCCCACCUAGGCGACGAUCCCUAACUGGUCUGAGAGGAUGACCAGCCACACUGGAACUGAGACACGGUCCAGACUCC
Molecule: ribosomal RNA, 280 nt
Filed under: uncultured Enterobacteriaceae bacterium
Lineage: Bacteria; Pseudomonadati; Pseudomonadota; Gammaproteobacteria; Enterobacterales; Enterobacteriaceae
Description: partial 16S ribosomal RNA
Rfam family: Bacterial small subunit ribosomal RNA
Source: RNAcentral